This 429-nucleotide ribosomal RNA is filed under the name Gemmatimonadota bacterium. Its description in RNAcentral is "Gemmatimonadetes bacterium partial 16S ribosomal RNA". It matches the Rfam family "Bacterial small subunit ribosomal RNA", at positions 355 to 776 of the family's 1533-position model. Lineage: Bacteria; Pseudomonadati; Gemmatimonadota. The record is from RNAcentral.
UAGGGAAUCUUCGGCAAUGGACGAAAGUCUGACCGAGCAACGCCGCGUGAGUGAAGAAGGUUUUCGGAUCGUAAAACUCUUUUGUUAGCGAAGAACAAGGACGUUAGUAACUGAACGUCCCCUGACGGUAUCUAACCAGAAAGCCACGGCUAACUACGUGCCAGCAGCCGCGGUAAUACGUAGGUGGCAAGCGUUGUCCGGAUUUAUUGGGCGUAAAGCGAGCGCAGGCGGUUUCUUAAGUCUGAUGUGAAAGCCCCCGGCUCAACCGGGGAGGGUCAUUGGAAACAGGGAGACUUGAGUGCAGAAGAGGAGAGUGGAAUUCCAUGUGUAGCGGUGAAAUGCGUAGAUAUAUGGAGGAACACCAGUGGCGAAGGCGGCUCUCUGGUCUGUAACUGACGCUGAGGCUCGAAAGCGUGGGGAGCAAACAGG